GACGUAGGGGGCGAGCGUUGUCCGGAUUUACUGGGCGUAAAGAGCGCGUAGGCGGCUUGUUAAGUGUGAAGUGAAAUCUCCAGAGCUCAACUCGGAAACGGCUUUACAUACUGGCAAGCUAGAGGAAUGCAGAGGUAAGUGGAAUUCCUGGUGUAGCGGUGAAAUGCGUAGAUAUCAGGAGGAACACCCAUGGCGAAGGCAGCUUACUGGGCAUUAUCUGACGCUGAGGCGCGAAAGCGUGGGUAGCAAACAGG
This 254-nucleotide ribosomal RNA is filed under the name uncultured bacterium. RNAcentral's name for it is "partial 16S ribosomal RNA". It matches the Rfam family "Bacterial small subunit ribosomal RNA", at positions 524 to 776 of the family's 1533-position model. The record is from RNAcentral.